GACGAACGCUGGCGGCGUGCUUAACACAUGCCAGUCGAACGGAAAGGCCCUGCUUUUGUGGGGUGCUCGAGUGGCGAACGGGUGAGUAACACGUGAGUAACCUGCCCUUGACUUUGGGAUAACUUCAGGAAACUGGGGCUAAUACCGGAUAGGAGCUCCUGCUGCAUGGUGGGGGUUGGAAAGUUUCGGCGGUUGGGGAUGGACUCGCGGCUUAUCAGCUUGUUGGUGGGGUAGUGGCUUACCAAGGCUUUGACGGGUAGCCGGCCUGAGAGGGUGACCGGCGACAUUGGGACUGAGAUACGGCCCAGACUCCUACGGGAGGCAGCAGGGGGGAAUAUUGCACAAUGGGCGGAAGCCUGAUGCAGCAACGCCGCGUGCGGGAUGACGGCCUUCGGGUUGUAAACCGCUUUCGCCUGUGACGAAGCGUGAGUGACGGUAAUGGGUAAAGAAGCACCGGCUAACUACGUG
Molecule: ribosomal RNA, 468 nt
Filed under: uncultured bacterium
Lineage: Bacteria
Description: partial 16S ribosomal RNA
Rfam family: Bacterial small subunit ribosomal RNA
Source: RNAcentral